This 431-nucleotide ribosomal RNA is filed under the name uncultured bacterium. Its description in RNAcentral is "bacterial SSU rRNA". It matches the Rfam family "Bacterial small subunit ribosomal RNA", at positions 8 to 429 of the family's 1533-position model. The record is from RNAcentral.
AGAGUUUGAUCCUGGCUCAGAGCGAACGCUGGCGGCGUGCUUAACACAUGCAAGUCGAACGCGCAGCAGUUUGUAGCAAUACAGAUUGUGGGCGCGUGGCGAACGGGUGCGUAACACGUGGAUAACCUUCCUUCAGGUGGGGAAUAACCCAGUGAAAAUUGGGCUAAUACCGCAUAACAUGACGAUGGCUCAUGCCGUUGUCUUCAAAGGCGCAAGUCGCCAGAAGAGGGAUCCGCGGCCGAUUAGCUAGUUGGCGAGGUAAUGGCUCACCAAGGCUUUGAUCGGUAGCCGGACUGAGAGGUUGGCCGGCCACACUGGAACUGAGACACGGUCCAGACUCCUACGGGAGGCAGCAGUGGGGAAUCUUGCACAAUGGACGAAAGUCUGAUGCAGCAACGCCGCGUGGGGGAUGAAGCUUUUCGGAGUGUAAA